RNAcentral lists this long non-coding RNA (3840 nucleotides) under Phaseolus vulgaris (common bean). RNAcentral's name for it is "long non-coding RNA (PVUL_LNC001805)". Lineage: Eukaryota; Viridiplantae; Streptophyta; Magnoliopsida; Fabales; Fabaceae. The record is from RNAcentral.
CAUUUACAGGAUAUGUGUUUCGCAAUUGCUAUCAAGAAAAAUGGACUAGGAUUUUAACUUUGAUGUGUUUAUAUAAAUGUUCUGGCAUAUAGACCACAAACUAAUUAGUUUAAAUAUUUUAUUAUCAAGAAAAGAAAACCAAACCUAGCAUGUAUGUCAGAAGUAAUGAAGCAUCUUUUGAGAAGCUAAGACUCAAAUUAAGGAAGAAAUUCUACAAACCACACAGAUGUGUAGUUCCUUUUACCAGUUUUAUAUGUUAAAAAUUAUUAGUGACUUUUAAAUGGGUGAAAGAUGCAAUUUGCAAUUGCAUUGAUCCAUUUACAGGAUAUGUGUUUCGCAAUUGCUAUCAAGAAAAAUGGACUAGGAUUUUAACUUUGAUGUGUUUAUAUAAAUGUUCUGGCAUAUAGACCACAAACUAAUUAGUUUAAAUAUUUUAUUAUCAAGAAAAGAAAACCAAACCUAGCAUGUAUGUCAGAAGUAAUGAAGCAUCUUUUGAGAAGCUAAGACUCAAAUUAAGGAAGAAAUUCUACAAACCACACAGAUGUGUAGUUCCUUUUACCAGUUUUAUAUGUUAAAAAUUAUUAGUGACUUUUAAAUGGGUGAAAGAUGCAAUUUGCAAUUGCAUUGAUCCAUUUACAGGAUAUGUGUUUCGCAAUUGCUAUCAAGAAAAAUGGACUAGGAUUUUAACUUUGAUGUGUUUAUAUAAAUGUUCUGGCAUAUAGACCACAAACUAAUUAGUUUAAAUAUUUUAUUAUCAAGAAAAGAAAACCAAACCUAGCAUGUAUGUCAGAAGUAAUGAAGCAUCUUUUGAGAAGCUAAGACUCAAAUUAAGGNNNNNNNNNNNNNNNNNNNNNNNNNNNNNNNNNNNNNNNNNNNNNNNNNNNNNNNNNNNNNNNNNNNNNNNNNNNNNNNNNNNNNNNNNNNNNNNNNNNNAUGUAUGUCAGAAGUAAUGAAGCAUCUUUUGAAGAAGCUAAGACUCAAAUUAAGGAAGAAAUUUCUACAAACCACACAGAUGUGUAGUUCCUUUUAACCAGUUUUAUAUGUUAAAAUUAUUAGUGACUUUUUAAAUGGGUGAAAGAUGCAAUUUGCAAUUGCAUUGAUCCAUUUACAGGAUAUGUGUUUCGCAAUUGCUAUCAAGAAAAAUGGACUAGGAUUUUAACUUUGAUGUGUUUAUAUAAAUGUUCUGGCAUAUAGACCACAAACUAAUUAGUUUAAAUAUUUUAUUAUCAAGAAAAGAAAACCAAACCUAGCAUGUAUGUCAGAAGUAAUGAAGCAUCUUUUGAGAAGCUAAGACUCAAAUUAAGGAAGAAAUUCUACAAACCACACAGAUGUGUAGUUCCUUUUACCAGUUUUAUAUGUUAAAAAUUAUUAGUGACUUUUAAAUGGGUGAAAGAUGCAAUUUGCAAUUGCAUUGAUCCAUUUACAGGAUAUGUGUUUCGCAAUUGCUAUCAAGAAAAAUGGACUAGGAUUUUAACUUUGAUGUGUUUAUAUAAAUGUUCUGGCAUAUAGACCACAAACUAAUUAGUUUAAAUAUUUUAUUAUCAAGAAAAGAAAACCAAACCUAGCAUGUAUGUCAGAAGUAAUGAAGCAUCUUUUGAGAAGCUAAGACUCAAAUUAAGGAAGAAAUUCUACAAACCACACAGAUGUGUAGUUCCUUUUACCAGUUUUAUAUGUUAAAAAUUAUUAGUGACUUUUAAAUGGGUGAAAGAUGCAAUUUGAAGCAACCAUGCUGUCAGUCAUCAGAUAAAAUCAUUGCAAUCAGGUCUAUAUUGACUCCAACAGAACAAAUACAAACUGUGAAGUGACUUUAAAUGCCUAUGCAAGAAAAGAAAUACCUACAACAAUUGAAAUGCAUCCGUGUAUAUAUACUCACCCUUAACCAAAAUUUCACUUAAAGUUCAUAAAUGAAUGGUUAAUAUCAUCCUACCACUUUUUCUCCUUGACUUGAUGAUAGCAUCACUUCCAAAGGAAAAACAAAGCAUUAAUGUAGCUGAUUAGCAGGUAAAGAGACAUGAAUCAUUAUCGUUUUUAUUUAAACUGAAAAGGAAACAAGUAAUCUAUACUUACCUAAAAUUUACGAAGGGUGAGUGGGAGUAUAAAUCACUAUAUUUCAAGAACAUCAGAUAAAAAUAAAAUUUGGAAAACAGAGACAGCUAAGUACAGUGGUCAUAAUAUUACUUUAAGAAUGUGACUCGGAUACAUGGCAAAAAUCAAUAUGCAAAUGAUUUAGCAAGAAAUUUGCAUUUUAAAACUGACUUUUUACAAUCAUGGCUAUUAAGAAUCGGAAAUAAAACCAUUAUUAUAAUCUACAUCUCACAAACACACUAUUGUUAACUAAGUACUUAUUUUUUUACAGAUAAUGGCAAAAAAUAUUUAUAUUGGAAAGAAAACUAACCAAUAAACAAUCAAAAUUCUGUGGGUGUGAUAUCAUGGAAGUCAAAGACACCAUGUGACAUUAUGAUUGUAAAUCACAGCAGAGUGCAGACAUGAUAUCAAAACCUGUAUACGACCUAAUGGUAUACAGUUUGAUACUUUGCCACUUCCAUUCUUCUAAAAUAGAAGUUUUUUAGCACAAGGUGAGUCUGCAUACUGACCAUGCUUCAAGCCCAAAGGGCUCUUAGAUUAGGGGACAUAUUCAAUACAAUUCAUGAAUCUUCAUCAAACAGUGGCAGUGGUAUUUUUUAUUAGUUAUAAAGCCUUUUCAAAAGAAGUCAAGAAGAGCAAAAAAUUAACGGUUCUCUAAAUUGACUUAACAGAGCAAAUAAAUAUAUUGAGCUUGAACAUAUAUAACAGUAAUACGAAAAAAAAACUAAUUUAGUUCAUGUAACUCAAUUCAAAAUAAUAAUUUCGUACAAAAUAUAUUCUUUAUAUAAAAAAGAAUGAAUGAUGUUAAGACAAAUCCGUGGUAAACUUGGUUCCACCCACCAGCAACAGUUAAAAAUCAAACAUUAUAGUGUAAAAUUAAGGCAAGGGCUUUGCAGUUCCUCUUUCAAUUCUGGAUAGAAUAAAUCAUAAAUUAUACAAGUUGUGAACUUGAUACUAAAUUUAGGAAGCUCGGAAACUGUAUAUGACAAUUCUAAACAUGUUUCCCAAUACAAAAUAACAGAUUUUAAUCAACAAAAUUAAGAGGAAAACUUUCAAUAAAAAAGACAUUAACAAGGGCGUGUGAGAGGUAGAAAAAUAUAAACACAAAGCAGACUGUCUGAAUGCUAAUCAUUCACUAUUCAUAUCAAGUCAUAAACAUGAAAAGUAUUUUAAUCAAGAACUUGGUUAUAAAUAGAAAAUAUAUACAUAAUUUUAACUAAUCAUAUCAUAUAAUUUCAUUAUGAUAAUUCCCUUUUACAGUUAACCUCAUCUCGGUAUUUACACAUUCUUUUUUCACAGUAGUCCUCUUCAUAUGAAUUGAAGAGCUCUUCUCUAUUCUUGUCCUUCUUGGGUUUUUCUUUAUCGGAGCCUUAUAAGGAGGGUAUAAAAUAUGUCAAAGAUGCAAGACGAAGUAUAAUAAGGGAAUUAUUAUGACUCGGUAAGAGUCUAAGAAACCAACGGGAAAACUAAAAUGGUGGUAGUGAAGACUUUGUAUCAUAUUUGAACAACAAACAAAUUGAAAGCAAAUUGUGAUACCCUAAACCUAAUGAUGCAUGAUUCAAGUGAUAAUAGAACAUAAUCUUGGUAGCUUGAUGUAAAUUUAUCUGUCGUGAUUAUAUUCUCCAUCGCAGUGUCAUUUGUGUAGUCUCUUCAAUCUUAAGCGCUCACAAAAUAUGAAUCAGACACAUAAGUUAUCAUAUUAGUAAAAUCAUGACCUCGUAUUUUGUUUCAGAACUUCCUCUCACUACAACAAUU